CUCUUAUCAAGAGUGGCGGAGGGACUGGCCCUAAGAUGCCCAGCAACCGUUCCAUUAGGAAUUGGUGCUAAAUCCUGCAAAACAGAAAUGUUUUGACAGAUAAGAG
Non-coding RNA from Bacillus sp. FJAT-22058, 106 nucleotides. The record is from Rfam. Lineage: Bacteria; Bacillati; Bacillota; Bacilli; Caryophanales; Bacillaceae.